RNAcentral lists this long non-coding RNA (477 nucleotides) under Homo sapiens (human). RNAcentral describes it as "PREDICTED lncRNA (TCONS_00019579)". The record is from RNAcentral. Lineage: Eukaryota; Metazoa; Chordata; Mammalia; Primates; Hominidae.
AGUUUGUUUGUUUGAGACAGAGUCUCGGUCUGUCACCCAGGCUGGAGUGCAAUAUGUGCAAUCCUGGCUCACUGCAACUUCCACCUUCUGGGCUCAAGCGAUUCUCCUGCCUCAGCCUCCCAAGUAGCUCUAAUUACAGAAGCAUGCCAUACCUAAGACCUACUACCCUGAGAAGCAGUGAAGUGCUCCUGGGGCCCACCAAGGCCACACAAGUCAAGGAGUGGAUGGCCUUGCUCCAGCUACUGCUCAGAUCACCUUUGCAAGAUGACAUUGUGUUGGGAGAUGGUCAUCAGAGCCAGGGCCAUGGAAGAUGCUGUCAGGAGGCACGAGGAAAGGCUAUGGGAGCACAAAGCAAGAAAGUGGCCUUCUGCAAGCCAGGAAGAGAGGCCUCCCCAGAAACCAACUCUGUGAGCUCAUCGAUCUUUGACUUUUGGCCUCCAGAACAUUGAGAAAAUAAAAGUCUGUUGUUAAACCACC